RNAcentral lists this ribosomal RNA (860 nucleotides) under Bacillus sp. (in: firmicutes). RNAcentral describes it as "bacterial SSU rRNA". It matches the Rfam family "Bacterial small subunit ribosomal RNA", at positions 71 to 914 of the family's 1533-position model. The record is from RNAcentral. Lineage: Bacteria; Bacillati; Bacillota; Bacilli; Caryophanales; Bacillaceae. RNAcentral also lists the same sequence under 1 other name.
GAUGGGAGCUUGCUCCCUGAUGUUAGCGGCGGACGGGUGAGUAACACGUGGGUAACCUGCCUGUAAGACUGGGAUAACUCCGGGAAACCGGGGCUAAUACCGGAUGGUUGUUUGAACCGCAUGGUUCAAACAUAAAAGGUGGCUUCGGCUACCACUUACAGAUGGACCCGCGGCGCAUUAGCUAGUUGGUGAGGUAACGGCUCACCAAGGCAACGAUGCGUAGCCGACCUGAGAGGGUGAUCGGCCACACUGGGACUGAGACACGGCCCAGACUCCUACGGGAGGCAGCAGUAGGGAAUCUUCCGCAAUGGACGAAAGUCUGACGGAGCAACGCCGCGUGAGUGAUGAAGGUUUUCGGAUCGUAAAGCUCUGUUGUUAGGGAAGAACAAGUACCGUUCGAAUAGGGCGGUACCUUGACGGUACCUAACCAGAAAGCCACGGCUAACUACGUGCCAGCAGCCGCGGUAAUACGUAGGUGGCAAGCGUUGUCCGGAAUUAUUGGGCGUAAAGGGCUCGCAGGCGGUUUCUUAAGUCUGAUGUGAAAGCCCCCGGCUCAACCGGGGAGGGUCAUUGGAAACUGGGGAACUUGAGUGCAGAAGAGGAGAGUGGAAUUCCACGUGUAGCGGUGAAAUGCGUAGAGAUGUGGAGGAACACCAGUGGCGAAGGCGACUCUCUGGUCUGUAACUGACGCUGAGGAGCGAAAGCGUGGGGAGCGAACAGGAUUAGAUACCCUGGUAGUCCACGCCGUAAACGAUGAGUGCUAAGUGUUAGGGGGUUUCCGCCCCUUAGUGCUGCAGCUAACGCAUUAAGCACUCCGCCUGGGGAGUACGGUCGCAAGACUGAAACUCAAAGGAAUUGAC